GCCGAAAGUGGGAAAAAUUUGCGGUGGUGGCUAGAAAUUGAUGGAAACGGUGGGAAAAAACACACAAACUGGACUCUAAGAAGACCUAACUAGUAACAAGACCUCGACCAGGACACAAACUCAACACUACGGACUGUGAAACUGAAAUAUGCAAAGGCUACGGUGCGGAUGGGUUGUAGGACAUGAAAACAAUAUGGCACUAGACUUAUGAGACGAACACAAGGACACUCAAAACUAAAGGUAGAUGUGCACCUAAAGGUAUGUCUGAAGUUUUGAUUACCACAUGAGGAGAAAAGGUGUGGCCCGAUCUUACGAAAGGUUCUGGUAACUAUCGAUUUGGUGGAAACGAGACACAAAUCAAUCCAGCUUGCGAACAACACGAUUCAAUACCCUGCAAUUCUUUUUAUUUUAUUUUUUUUUGAUAUUUUUCUUUUACUUUGGAACACUCGAGAAGUAACCACAGGAAAUUUGAGCUUAAACAAGUGAAAGACGUAGCCUGUGGAAUUUUUUGAAAAUUGCAAAAAAUAUGAAAAAAACUUUAGGAGGUGAAAAAUCAAACUUCAGAGGCGAAUUUGGGGAUUCUAAAAUGGAUGAACCCACCUAUGGCGUGGAUAGACAGAUCCAAAAAAAAUUUUUGAUCGAUUUUGAUAUAUGGAACGUCAAAAUCGGAGUUCGUAUGCUAAAGUUAUGGCUGUUUUACGAACGGACUCCGAAUUAGAGGACAAAACGGUCCGCAAGUGGGAAAAUUUUGCGGUGGUGGAUAGAAAUUGAUAGAAACGGUGGGAAAAACACACAAACUAGACUCUAACAAGACCUAACCAGUAACAAGACCUCAACCAGGACACAAACUCAACACUACGGACCGUAAAACUGAAAUAUGCAAAGGCUAUGGCGCGGAUGGGUUAUAGGACAUGAAAACAAUAUGGCACUAGACUUAUGGGACGAACAUAAGGACACUCGAAAAUAAGGGUAGAUGUGAACCUAACGGUAUAUCUGAAGCUUUGAUUACCACUUGAGGAGAACAAGUGUGGCCCGAUCUUCCGAAAGGUUCUGGUAACUAUUGAUUUGGUAGAAACGAGACACAAAUCAAUCCAGCUUGCGAACAACACGAUUCGAAACCCUGCAAUUCUUUUUUUUUGAUAUAUUUCUUUUACUUAGGAGCACUCAUCAAGUAACCAUAUGAAAUUUGAGCUUAAACAAGUGAAAGACGUGGCCUGUGGAACUUUUUGAAGAUUGUGAAA
This 1241-nucleotide long non-coding RNA is filed under the name Sorghum bicolor (sorghum). Its description in RNAcentral is "long non-coding RNA (SBIC_LNC010518)". The record is from RNAcentral. Lineage: Eukaryota; Viridiplantae; Streptophyta; Magnoliopsida; Poales; Poaceae.